UACGUAGGGCGCAAGCGUUGUUCGGAUUUACUGGGCGUAAAGGGCGCGUAGGCGGCCCGGUAAGUCACUUGUGAAAUCUCUGAGCUUAACUCAGAACGGCCAAGUGAUACUGCAGUGCUAGAGUGCAGAAGGGGCAAUCGGAAUUCUUGGUGUAGCGGUGAAAUGCGUAGAUAUCAAGAGGAACACCUGAGGUGAAGACGGGUUGCUAGGCUGACACUGACGCUGAGGCGCGAAAGCCAGGGGAGCAAACGGG
Molecule: ribosomal RNA, 253 nt
Filed under: uncultured bacterium
Lineage: Bacteria
Description: partial 16S ribosomal RNA
Rfam family: Bacterial small subunit ribosomal RNA
Source: RNAcentral